GCUUGCUCCACCGGAAAAAGAAGAGUGGCGAACGGGUGAGUAACACGUGGGUAACCUGCCCAUCAGAAGGGGAUAACACUUGGAAACAGGUGCUAAUACCGUAUAACAAUCGAAACCGCAUGGUUUUGAUUUGAAAGGCGCUUUCGGGUGUCGCUGAUGGAUGGACCCGCGGUGCAUUAGCUAGUUGGUGAGGUAACGGCUCACCAAGGCCACGAUGCAUAGCCGACCUGAGAGGGUGAUCGGCCACAUUGGGACUGAGACACGGCCCAAACUCAUACGGGAGGCAGCAGUAGGGAAUCUUCGGCAAUGGACGAAAGUCUGACCGAGCAACGCCGCGUGAGUGAAGAAGGUUUUCGGAUCGUAAAACUCUGUUGUUAGAGAAGAACAAGGAUGAGAGUAACUGUUCAUCCCUUGACGGUAUCUAACCAGAAAGCCACGGCUAACUACGUGCCAGCAGCCGCGGUAAUACGUAGGUGGCAAGCGUUGUCCGGAUUUAUUGGGCGUAAAGCGAGCGCAGGCGGUUUCUUAAGUCUGAUGUGAAAGCCCCCGGCUCAACCGGGGAGGGUCAUUGGAAACUGGGAGACUUGAGUGCAGAAGAGGAGAGUGGAAUUCCAUGUGUAGCGGUGAAAUGCGUAGAUAUAUGGAGGAACACCAGUGGCGAAGGCGGCUCUCUGGUCUGUAACUGACGCUGAGGCUCGAAAGCGUGGGGAGCAAACAGGAUUAGAUACCCUGGUAGUCCACGCCGUAAACGAUGAGUGCUAAGUGUUGGAGGGUUUCCGCCCUUCAGUGCUGCAGCUAACGCAUUAAGCACUCCGCCUGGGGAGUACGACCGCAAGGUUGAAACUCAAAGGAAUUGACGGGGGCCCGCACAAGCGGUGGAGCAUGUGGUUUAAUUCGAAGCAACGCGAAGAACCUUACCAGGUCUUGACAUCCUUUGACCACUCUAGAGAUAGAGCUUCCCCUUCGGGGGCAAAGUGACAGGUGGUGCAUGGUUGUCGUCAGCUCGUGUCGUGAGAUGUUGGGUUAAGUCCCGCAACGAGCGCAACCCUUAUUGUUAGUUGCCAUCAUUUAGUUGGGCACUCUAGCAAGACUGCCGGUGACAAACCGGAGGAAGGUGGGGAUGACGUCAAAUCAUCAUGCCCCUUAUGACCUGGGCUACACACGUGCUACAAUGGGAAGUACAACGAGUCGCGAAGUCGCGAGGCUAAGCUAAUCUCUUAAAGCUUCUCUCAGUUCGGAUUGUAGGCUGCAACUCGCCUACAUGAAGCCGGAAUCGCUAGUAAUCGCGGAUCAGCACGCCGCGGUGAAUACGUUCCCGGGCCUUGUACACACCGCCCGUCACACCACGAGAGUUUGUAACACCCGAAGUCGGUG
RNAcentral lists this ribosomal RNA (1374 nucleotides) under Enterococcus durans. Its description in RNAcentral is "bacterial SSU rRNA". It matches the Rfam family "Bacterial small subunit ribosomal RNA", at positions 71 to 1432 of the family's 1533-position model. Lineage: Bacteria; Bacillati; Bacillota; Bacilli; Lactobacillales; Enterococcaceae. The record is from RNAcentral.